This is a non-coding RNA of Picea glauca (white spruce), 362 nucleotides long. Lineage: Eukaryota; Viridiplantae; Streptophyta; Pinopsida; Pinales; Pinaceae. The record is from Rfam.
AUACAAGUUGUUAUGAAUUUACUUAAUGUUGUAGCAAUUUUAUAUGAAUUCUUGAUUUAAAUAGGAAGGGUGCACUCUGCAUGAAUUUCGAAAGAGAAUUGGGUUAAUAUUCCCGAAUUGGGACACGGUGGUGGACAAUAAUGUUAGGAAAUAUGGAGAUGUCAUCGGGGGCCUGGGAAGAGUUAUCUUUUCUUUUCAACGACUUUUCCACCCUGAAAUCAGUUCAACUGGAGAUAGGGUCCAACAUAUGGAAUAUCACCACAUGUCUUGCGGUGUUUGGUGCCCCCUCGACGUCCAUUGAAAAUAUGGAGAAUUGAGUACCAUCCAUGCUCGAUCGUACUCAUAUCUGCCUCCUUGGAUAU